Molecule: RNase P RNA, 375 nt
Filed under: Salmonella enterica
Lineage: Bacteria; Pseudomonadati; Pseudomonadota; Gammaproteobacteria; Enterobacterales; Enterobacteriaceae
Also listed under: 1 other name
Description: RNase P RNA component class A
Rfam family: Bacterial RNase P class A
About the family: Ribonuclease P (RNase P) is a ubiquitous endoribonuclease, found in archaea, bacteria and eukarya as well as chloroplasts and mitochondria. Its best characterised activity is the generation of mature 5'-ends of tRNAs by cleaving the 5'-leader elements of precursor-tRNAs.
Source: RNAcentral
GAAGCUGACCAGACAGUCGCCGCUUCGUCGUCGUCCUUUCGGGGAGACGGGCGGAGGGGAGGAAAGUCCGGGCUCCAUAGGGCAGGGUGCCAGGUAACGCCUGGGGGGGAAACCCACGACCAGUGCAACAGAGAGCAAACCGCCGAUGGCCCACGUAAGUGGGAUCAGGUAAGGGUGAAAGGGUGCGGUAAGAGCGCACCGCGCGGCUGGUAACAGUCCGUGGCACGGUAAACUCCACCCGGAGCAAGGCCAAAUAGGGGUUCAUAAGGUACGGCCCGUACUGAACCCGGGUAGGCUGCUUGAGCCAGUGAGCGAUUGCUGGCCUAGAUGAAUGACUGUCCACGACAGAACCCGGCUUAUCGGUCAGUUUCAACU